AGACCCGAAACCCGGUGAUCUAGCCAUGGGCAGGUUGAAGGUUGGGUAACACUAACUGGAGGACCGAACCGACUAAUGUUGAAAAAUUAGCGGAUGACCUGUGGCUGGGGGUGAAAGGCCAAUCAAACCGGGAGAUAGCUGGUUCUCCCCGAAAGCUAUUUAGGUAGCGCCUCGUGAAUUCAUCUCCGGGGGUAGAGCACUGUUUCGGCUAGGGGGCCAUCCCGGCUUACCAACCCGAUGCAAACUGCGAAUACCGGAGAAUGUUAUCACGGGAGACACACGGCGGGUGCUAACGUCCGUCGUGAAGAGGGAAACAACCCAGACCGCCAGCUAAGGUCCCAAAGUCAUGGUUAAGUGGGAAACGAUGUGGGAAGGCCCAGACAGCCAGGAUGUUGGCUUAGAAGCAGCCAUCAUUUAAAGAAAGCGUAAUAGCUCACUGGUCGAGUCGGCCUGCGCGGAAGAUGUAACGGGGCUAAACCAUGCACCGAAGCUGCGGCAGCGAACGUAUCACCCAAGACAACUUUACGGAGUUGACGAUUGACGGAGCGAAGCGACGUCAAAGCGUUCAUUAAAGUCGAGUUGGCUUAGGGAUACGUUCGUUGGGUAGGGGAGCGUUCUGUAAGCCUGUGAAGGUGUGUCGUGAGGCAUGCUGGAGGUAUCAGAAGUGCGAAUGCUGACAUAAGUAACGAUAAAGCGGGUGAAAAGCCCGCUCGCCGGAAGACCAAGGGUUCCUGUCCAACGUUAAUCGGGGCAGGGUGAGUCGACCCCUAAGGCGAGGCCGAAAGGCGUAGUCGAUGGGAAACGGGUUAAUAUUCCCGUACUUGGUGUUACUGCGAAGGGGGGACGGAGAAGGCUAUGUUGGCCGGGCGACGGUUGUCCCGGUUUAAGGGUGUAGGUGUGUGUUCCAGGUAAAUCCGGUUCACUUUAACACUGAGGCGUGACGACGAGGCACUACGGUGCUGAA
RNAcentral lists this ribosomal RNA (964 nucleotides) under Salmonella enterica subsp. enterica serovar Typhimurium. RNAcentral's name for it is "partial 23S ribosomal RNA". It matches the Rfam family "Bacterial large subunit ribosomal RNA", at positions 711 to 1589 of the family's 2925-position model. The record is from RNAcentral. Lineage: Bacteria; Pseudomonadati; Pseudomonadota; Gammaproteobacteria; Enterobacterales; Enterobacteriaceae.